RNAcentral lists this ribosomal RNA (499 nucleotides) under uncultured bacterium. RNAcentral describes it as "bacterial SSU rRNA". It matches the Rfam family "Bacterial small subunit ribosomal RNA", at positions 28 to 524 of the family's 1533-position model. The record is from RNAcentral.
GAUGAACGCUAGCGGCAGGCCUAAUACAUGCAAGACGAACGGUAAGUUGAGUAGCAAUACUUAGCCAAGAGUGUCGUACGGGUGCGUAACACGUAUGCAACCUACCCUAUACAGGAGGAUAGCCUAGGGAAACCUGGAUUAACCCUUCAUAGUAUUAUUGGAUGGCAUCAUUUGAUAAUUAAAACUGAGGUGGUAUAGGAUGGGCAUGCGUCUGAUUAGUUAGUUGGCGGGGUAAUGGCCCACCAAGACGAUGAUCAGUAGGGGUUCUGAGAGGAAGAUCCCCCACACUGGCACUGAGAUACGGGCCAGACUCCUACGGGAGGCAGCAGUAGGGAAUAUUGGUCAAUGGAUGCAAGUCUGAACCAGCCAUGCCGCGUGCAGGAAGAAGGCCUUCUGGGUUGUAAACUGCUUUUGCCAGGGGAUAAAAUUCCAUGCGUGGAAUACUGAAGGUACCUGGUGAAUAAGCCACGGCUAACUACGUGCCAGCAGCCGCGGUAAU